RNAcentral lists this long non-coding RNA (1416 nucleotides) under Sarcophilus harrisii (Tasmanian devil). Its description in RNAcentral is "lncRNA (ENSSHAG00000021314.1)". Lineage: Eukaryota; Metazoa; Chordata; Mammalia; Dasyuromorphia; Dasyuridae. The record is from RNAcentral.
AGACUGUAAGAAUGGGGGACUAGUGUUCAAUGUGGCUAAAAAACUAGGUUGGGAUUAUGUUGUAUAGGACUUUGAAAGGUAAAUAAGCAAAUUUAGAUUUAAUCUUACAGGCGAAAAGGAAUCACCGAAGUUGAUUGAGCAGGCAAAUGACAGUAAUCUGCAUUUAAGGAAAGUAACUUUGGUAAUAGUGUGUAGAAUGAUCUGGACGAGUGAGAUACCUGAAGUGGGGAGACCAACCCAGAGGAGAUUGCAAAGGAGAGGUGGAAAUCAAGUAGAAAGAAGACAUGAGAGAUUGGGUAGAAAUGGCAAUAUGGUAAGAUAUCACUUCCUUAAAAAGAACACCUACAUGGCUCUACAAUGUCAUCAAUUCAAGCUUGUGCAACUCCUGACUUUCUCCUUCCAAAAGUUUACUUCGGAUGUCCACUCAAAUGCUGGAGGCUUUUCUCCCUUUCUGCUGCAAUCACAAGAGUACCAGUAGAGCACUGUGGCUGUUCAUCCAUCAUCUCUUGCUAUCAUCAUAAGACCAGCCCAUCUUCUUUCUGGAAUAUAAUCUUUGAUGACAUCUUUUUUAAAAAAUUAUUCCUUAUUGAUUGUAGUCUACUCACUCACACCCACCAUAUGCCUUUCCAUUGCCCUCUGAGGGAUAGUCACGUUUAGUUUUUCAGAGGCAAUGGUGUCCUAGGUCUCACACAACAACAAAGGCAAAUUGAAAAGAUGGACCUUUGCUGUUCCAUAUAACUUGGACUAGAAGUGAGAGAAGUUGGUCAGUAAGUGUUUUGCAGUUUCCCCAAAGCAUUCCAGCUUGUUCUCCUUUUCAAUCCUGGGCCCAGCUUAUUGUCCAUCUGUAUUGUCUGUCCCAGAUACACAUACAGACAAACUCUGCAGGAUGUCUCCUCUAAUGCAUGUUGAAAUAUGGACAAUGGAAAUUCUUUAUCCAUUUGAUCUUUUCUGUGUGGAUGGACAGGUCAACUCUCAAACUUUGAAUGAUCACAGAUCUUUUUCUGGAGGCUUAGGAAGAUCUUGGGGAUUGAUGCACAAUACAAUGUCAUCCACAAACAGGAGUAUCUGAAGGACCUUACCAACUGGGAAUCCCUCCUCAACAUGGACUCUAGAUUUGCAGUUUGGAGUGUUUUUUUUUUUUUUCCAAAAAAAUCAUGCAACGUGGUUAUAUUUGAAUAUUACUAAAUUAAAACCUUUCUUCUAUUAGUAGCUACUUUAGCUACCUGAAUUCUGGACAGUUAAAACUAAUUCAUGUUUCAGCAAAUUAUAUAGAUAUGCUCAACUCGAGCAUUCUAUACUGAUGGAAGAAUUGAGAAAAUACUCAGGGACAAGUGAGCCAAAGAUUGAAUUUGCAUUGUGAUAAAUAUUCACAUAUUUUUAGAGGAAAAGCUAAUUUGUUCUAGGGUCCAUACUAAC